This 924-nucleotide long non-coding RNA is filed under the name Cricetulus griseus (Chinese hamster). RNAcentral's name for it is "lncRNA (ENSCGRG00000025834.1)". The record is from RNAcentral. Lineage: Eukaryota; Metazoa; Chordata; Mammalia; Rodentia; Cricetidae.
UAUAAGUAGAAAGAAAAUAAUAAUACAAGAAAAUGUAAAGCUUCAACCUUACAGAGGUUGGCAUAUGAAAGCUUAGAAUAAAAACAACUUUUCCUGAGAAACUAACUAAUGCGCUGAGAUACAAAGAGUGGGAAAAUUUAGCCCAAGUAGAAGGAAAGGACUACUGUCCAAGAAAGACAGUGCAUCUGUAACUAUCAUCUGGAAGGCAGCAGCUAUUGGGAAUGUUUGAGGGUUUGUGGGUCUCUGGUUGUCCUGCUCCUGAUGUCACCAACAUCUAGUGUCAAGUCUGGCCCUUCCAGAGAAGCAGACAAUGGGAAACUUGCACCAAGAUGGACUAGAGAAGGAGGGAGAAGUCACUUACAGAAGAAACAGAUAGCCGCCACAGGUUCCCGCUCUAAGGAACUGCACAGGCUGCUCUUCUGUGACCCGCCUGGAAGCAAAAGAGAGCUCUGGGGUGAGGACCCUGGAUCUAGUCCUCUCUCCAUCACAUCCUCCGUGAUCAGCCAUGGCGUGGUCAGUGCUACAGGUGUGGGCAGGGUGGAUAUCACACUACACAGAAGUUCACUCUAUUCUUCUUCCAAGGGUGCUUACACCUUCCUCAUCACAGAACAAGGGGACUCCUUGUGAUUAAUAGGUAUCCUAGGAAGAGGCCCAGGGAGUUCAGACUGAUCCAGCCUUAUGUCAGGAGACUUAUACAACAGCUAAUACCUUGGCAACAUCUAUGAGGCAUAAACUUCAAGGAGAGAUGCUCUUUCCAUCCCAGUUGUUCCUGGGAACAUCCAGAAGAUGUGGAAGUAUCUAGCCAAAUGCUGCAGCCACCACCACAGUGACACAGAAAACCUUUCUUUUGCAUGUUUUCAAGGAGAGGCAUAUGUUCUAACAUCAUACCACAUCCAGUUAUGAUUAGACUAUGGUUCUUAAGGA